Molecule: ribosomal RNA, 1267 nt
Filed under: metagenome
Description: bacterial LSU rRNA
Rfam family: Bacterial large subunit ribosomal RNA
Source: RNAcentral
UGCCUGUACCAUAACCGACACAGGUGGGUAAGUAGAGUAUACUAAGGGGCGCGAGAUAACUCUCUCUAAGGAACUCGGCAAAAUAACUCCGUAACUUCGGGAGAAGGAGUGCCUUAUUCUUAAGGUUGCAAUAACAAGAUCCAAGCAACUGUUUAUCAAAAACACAGGUCUCCGCUAAGUCGUAAGACGAUGUAUGGGGGCUGACGCCUGCCCAGUGCCAGAAGGUUAAAGAAGUCGGUUAGCAAUAGCAAAGCUGGUAACUGAAGCCCUGGUGAACGGCGGCCGUAACAAUAACGGUCCUAAGGUAGCGAAAUUCCUUGUCGGGUAAGUUCCGACCCGCACGAAAGGCGUAAUGAUUUGGAUGCUGUCUCGGAGAGGGGCUCGGUGAAAUAGACUUGUCUGUGAAGAUGCGGACUACCUGCACCAGGACAGAAAGACCCUAUGAAGCUUUACUGUAACUUGAAAUUGAAAUUGGACUUUAUUCGCGCAGUAUAGGUGGGAGGCGUUGAUUAUAAUCUUGUGGGAUUAUUGGAGCCAUCAGUGAGAUACCACUCUUGUAAUGUUAGAUUUCUAACUUUGAAUCAUUAUCUGGUCAAAGGACAGUUUCAGGCGGGCAGUUUGACUGGGGCGGUCGCCUCCUAAACGGUAACGGAGGCGUACAAAGGUUUCCUCUGAACGGUUAGAAAUCGUAUCUAGAGUGUAAAGGCAUAAGGAAGCUUGACUGUGAGACCUACAAGUCGAGCAGGGACGAAAGUCGGUCUUAGUGAUCUGACGGUACUGAGUGGAAAGGCCGUCACUCAACGGAUAAAAGUUACUCUAGGAUAACAGGCUGAUCUCCCCCAAGAGUUCACAUCGACGGGGAGGUUUGGCACCUCGAUGUCGGCUCAUCGCAUCCUGGGGCGGUAGUACGUCCCAAGGGUUGGGCUGUUCGCCCAUGAAAGCGGUACGCGAGCUGGGUUCAGAGCGUCGUGAGACAGUUCGAUCCAUAUCCGGUGUAGGCGCUAGAAUAUUGAGAGGAGCCUCCUUUAGUACGAGAGGACCGAGAAGGACAUACCUCUGGUGUACCAGUUAUCGUGCCAACGGUAAACGCUGGGUAGCUAUGUAUGGAGUGGAUAACCGCUGAAAGCAUCUAAGUGGGAAGCCCACCUCAAGAUAAGUAUUCUCAUCACGUAAGUGAGUAAGGUCACGGUAAGACUAACCGUUUGAUAGGCAUUAAGUGUAAGUACAGUAAUGUAUGUGCUGAGAUGUCCUAAUAGACCGAGGACUC